AUUUACUAUUUAUAUUAGAGGAUUAUAAGGUAUAUUCAUAUAAUUUAGCAUUAGCCUAGUAAAAAUGGUUCAAUUGGUCUCAUCAACCCUUGAUAGUAAAUAUUCUUAUAUAUUAUUUUCUUUUUUUCCAAAUUUAAUUUCUACGGCUCCUUUAUUCUGAAAGAUCAAAUCAGUUAGACACCUAGACUAUCAAUUUGCGGACAAAUUAACAUCAAAAGUUACGUCAUUUACAAUGUCUCUGUCACCAGGGCACGGCACGUGAAUCAUUAUUCAUUAGACGACAAAUACAUACAGGCAUCUUCAUCAAUCAACUACAAGGUUUUUGUUUAUUUGUCAAAUGAAAGAACUCGAAGGACCGCAAAGAACAAAACAAUAUGACAAUGGCCAUGCUGUCGUUGUGUUUGGUCGGUGGAUCCAAGUGGGGACGGCGGUGCGUUCUAAUUAGGGAUGGUAAUUGUACCCGUAAAUUCAUAAAUUCGUCCAAAUUUAUCCGCCAAAAUCUGUUCGUUGCGGGUAAUUUUAUCCGUUGUGGGUGGGUUUAGUAUUAUAAAUUAAAAUCCGCAUAUGGAUGCGGGUGGAUUUAGUAUUAACCUUAUAUCCGGUGGAUAC
Molecule: long non-coding RNA, 609 nt
Filed under: Citrus x clementina
Lineage: Eukaryota; Viridiplantae; Streptophyta; Magnoliopsida; Sapindales; Rutaceae
Description: Citrus clementina (C. clementina) long non-coding RNA (CCLE_LNC000640)
Source: RNAcentral